GGUUGAUCCUGCCAGUAGUCAUAUGCUUGUCCUAAAGAUUAAGCCAUGCAUGUCCAAGUAUAAACCUUUAUACGGUGAAACUGCGAAUGGCUCAUUAUAUCAGUUAUAAUUUACUUGAUGAAUAUUUAUUACAUGGAUAACCGUGGUAAUUCUAGAGCUAAUACAUGCAUAAGGGGUGAUUUGAUCAUUCUGUAUUUAUUAGAUAAAACCAAAGUAGGGGGUUAAACUCUUAUUUAUUGGCGAGUCAUGAUAACUGGGCGGAUCGUAUGGCCUUGAGCUGACGACGCAUCAUU
RNAcentral lists this ribosomal RNA (293 nucleotides) under uncultured eukaryote. Its description in RNAcentral is "partial 18S ribosomal RNA". It matches the Rfam family "Eukaryotic small subunit ribosomal RNA", at positions 6 to 299 of the family's 1831-position model. The record is from RNAcentral.